GUAGGGUGCAAGCGUUAAUCGGAAUUACUGGGCGUAAAGCGUACGCAGGCGGCUUUGCAAGACAGGUGUGAAAUCCCCGGGCCUAACCUGGGAACUGCAUUUGUGACUGCAUGGCUAGAGUUUGUCAGAGGGGGGUGGAAUUCCACGUGUAGCAGUGAAAUGCGUAGAUAUGUGGAGGAACACCGAUGGCGAAGGCAGCCCCCUGGGAUGUGACUGACGCUCAUGUACGAAAGCGUGGGGAGCAAACAGGAUUAGAUACCCUGGUAGUCCACGCCCUAAACGAUGUCGACUAGUUGUCGGAGGGUAACUCCUUCGGUAACGCAGCUAACGCGUGAAGUCGACCGCCUGGGGAGUACGGUCGCAAGAUUA
Molecule: ribosomal RNA, 369 nt
Filed under: uncultured bacterium
Lineage: Bacteria
Also listed under: 1 other name
Description: bacterial SSU rRNA
Rfam family: Bacterial small subunit ribosomal RNA
Source: RNAcentral